CAGCUGCGAAGACUGCUUCAUCAUCCUUCACACGGAAAACACGGGUUGCUCUAGAAUCCGCAUAGCUCACCAGAGUACUCGUGGCGUGGAUCGGAAAAGCAUGACGACUGCGAAGCAAUAUGUCGG
Long non-coding RNA from Ornithodoros turicata, 126 nucleotides. RefSeq lists it as uncharacterized. NCBI's taxonomy places the organism in Eukaryota, Metazoa, Arthropoda, Arachnida, Ixodida, Argasidae. The transcript is spliced from 3 exons. The record is from RefSeq and is a predicted model, not a curated record.